GGCGACGAGAAAGAGGCGGCGACGAGAAAGAAGCAACGAGGAGACAUAGACGAGAUGGAGGCAGAGGUUUCAGUCGACGGAGGCGGAGAGAGAGAGCCGGUUACAGGAGGCAACCGGAAUCUUCGGUUUUGAGUUGAAGAAAUCUUUCUACGGAGGUUCUAAAUCCUUUUGCCUCUUCUCCGUAUUGAUUUUUUGGAUCCGUAGAUCUGCACACAAAAAAAGUAAAUUAGUGAUACAUAAAGUAAAGGAGAAAAAAUUAUGAUGGUGAAAAGUAAUGAUUUGAAAAAGAACGUAGAUUACAUAGAAAAAAGGAAGAAGUUGAACAUAC
This 328-nucleotide long non-coding RNA is filed under the name Brassica napus (rape). RNAcentral describes it as "long non-coding RNA (BNAP_LNC011073)". Lineage: Eukaryota; Viridiplantae; Streptophyta; Magnoliopsida; Brassicales; Brassicaceae. The record is from RNAcentral.